GUGCCUAAUACAUGCAAGUCGUACGCACUGGCCCAACUGAUUGAUGGUGCUUGCACCUGAUUGACGAUGGAUCACCAGUGAGUGGCGGACGGGUGAGUAACACGUAGGUAACCUGCCCCGGAGCGGGGGAUAACAUUUGGAAACAGAUGCUAAUACCGCAUAACAACAAAAGCCACAUGGCUUUUGUUUGAAAGAUGGCUUUGGCUAUCACUCUGGGAUGGACCUGCGGUGCAUUAGCUAGUUGGUAAGGUAACGGCUUACCAAGGCGAUGAUGCAUAGCCGAGUUGAGAGACUGAUCGGCCACAAUGGAACUGAGACACGGUCCAUACUCCUACGGGAGGCAGCAGUAGGGAAUCUUCCACAAUGGGCGCAAGCCUGAUGGAGCAACACCGCGUGAGUGAAGAAGGGUUUCGGCUCGUAAAGCUCUGUUGUUGGAGAAGAACGUGCGUGAGAGUAACUGUUCACGCAGUGACGGUAUCCAACCAGAAAGUCACGGCUAACUACGUGCCAGCAGCCGCGGUAAUACGUAGGUGGCAAGCGUUAUCCGGAUUUAUUGGGCGUAAAGCGAGCGCAGGCGGUUGCUUAGGUCUGAUGUGAAAGCCUUCGGCUUAACCGAAGAAGUGCAUCGGAAACCGGGCGACUUGAGUGCAGAAGAGGACAGUGGAACUCCAUGUGUAGCGGUGGAAUGCGUAGAUAUAUGGAAGAACACCAGUGGCGAAGGCGGCUGUCUGGUCUGCAACUGACGCUGAGGCUCGAAAGCAUGGGUAGCGAACAGGAUUAGAUACCCUGGUAGUCCAUGCCGUAAACGAUGAGUGCUAGGUGUUGGAGGGUUUCCGCCCUUCAGUGCCGGAGCUAACGCAUUAAGCACUCCGCCUGGGGAGUACGACCGCAAGGUUGAAACUCAAAGGAAUUGACGGGGGCCCGCACAAGCGGUGGAGCAUGUGGUUUAAUUCGAAGCUACGCGAAGAACCUUACCAGGUCUUGACAUCUUGCGCUAACCUUAGAGAUAAGGCGUUCCCUUCGGGGACGCAAUGACAGGUGGUGCAUGGUCGUCGUCAGCUCGUGUCGUGAGAUGUUGGGUUAAGUCCCGCAACGAGCGCAACCCUUGUUACUAGUUGCCAGCAUUAAGUUGGGCACUCUAGUGAGACUGCCGGUGACAAACCGGAGGAAGGUGGGGACGACGUCAGAUCAUCAUGCCCCUUAUGACCUGGGCUACACACGUGCUACAAUGGACGGUACAACGAGUCGCAAGCUCGCGAGAGUAAGCUAAUCUCUUAAAGCCGUUCUCAGUUCGGACUGUAGGCUGCAACUCGCCUACACGAAGUCGGAAUCGCUAGUAAUCGCGGAUCAGCAUGCCGCGGUGAAUACGUUCCCGGGCCUUGUACACACCGCCCGUCACACCAUGGGAGUUUGUAACGCCCAAAGUCGGUGGCCUAACCUUUAUGGAGGGAGCCGCCUAA
RNAcentral lists this ribosomal RNA (1460 nucleotides) under Limosilactobacillus reuteri. RNAcentral describes it as "bacterial SSU rRNA". It matches the Rfam family "Bacterial small subunit ribosomal RNA". Lineage: Bacteria; Bacillati; Bacillota; Bacilli; Lactobacillales; Lactobacillaceae. The record is from RNAcentral.